Molecule: transfer RNA, 82 nt
Filed under: Acidobacteriota bacterium
Lineage: Bacteria; Pseudomonadati; Acidobacteriota
Description: Acidobacteria bacterium tRNA-Leu
Rfam family: tRNA
About the family: Transfer RNA (tRNA) molecules are approximately 80 nucleotides in length. Their secondary structure includes four short double-helical elements and three loops (D, anti-codon, and T loops).
Source: RNAcentral
GCGGAAGUGGCGGAACCGGUAGACGCGCACGGCUUAGAACCGUGUGCCGUGAGGCGUGGGGGUUCGAGUCCCCCCUUCCGCA